This 375-nucleotide ribosomal RNA is filed under the name uncultured archaeon. RNAcentral describes it as "bacterial SSU rRNA". It matches the Rfam family "Archaeal small subunit ribosomal RNA", at positions 491 to 859 of the family's 1478-position model. The record is from RNAcentral.
GUUCGCUUUUUACUUGGGCCCCCUAAAACGUCCGNNUAGCCGGUCNNUGGUGCAUUUCGUGGGUAAAUCAACCCGCUCAACGGGUUGAAUUCUGCGAGCACGGCCAGACUUGGGACCGGGAGAGGUGUGGGGUACUCUCAGGGUAGGGGUAAAAUCCUGUCAUCCUGAGAGGACCACCUGUUGCGAAGGCGCCACACUAGAACGGAUCCGACGGUCAGGGACGAAACCUAGGGGCACGAACCGGAUUAGAUACCCGGGUAGUCCUAGGUGUAAACGCUGUGGACUUGAUGUUGGGGGCGCUCCGAGCGCUCUCAGUGUCGAAGCGAAGGUGAUAAGUCCACUGCCUGGGGGUACGGUCGCAAGGCUGAAACUCAA